GUUGCCCUAGAGAAAGUUUGUAUGAAAAAAGAGUUUCUAAGUUUCGGUGUGGCUCUCUUCGGCAUCAGUGGGCAUUUUUACUGUGUUUUACUGCUAUACGUUCCUAUAGAAAGGAUUACUCUCUAAAUUCCAUAAAAUUUGUAGAGAUCUAAAUUUAGCGUUGAGUGAAUGAAAUGAAGGAAUCGUUAUAGGUAUCAUUGGUACCGCUUAGUAAUCUCUUGAAAUGUGAGGCUUGUGGGGUGUUUUACAUAUUUGCCUCAGUGGUGAAAGACCCUUUUACUGAUCAGAAAAUAACUAAUUUUACUAAUUAGGAAACCAAAUGGGACAUCAAUUUUAUCCUGCUUUUAAAGAGGAAACAAGGAGCAGCGUUGCAAACUGUCCUAGGCACCCCCUUUCCAGCCAUAUAGAUGGGGUGGGAGCACACAGUUUUCCCUGCCCCGACUACCUGGAUCUCUGGUGAAUGGCACUACCACAGAGAGAAAUGCAGUGCUCAGGCUUUGUUUUACAAUUGGUUUAGAUGUUGGGGAUUCCUGCUGAGCCAAAUGGUUGCCUCUGGGAGAGGGACAUGGGCUGAGAGAGCCAGGUAGCAGGUCAAGGAAGCAGCAGCCUGAGCCAAUGUCUGUUUAAGGACUGGAAACUGAGCAAGUGCUGAGGACUGUUGUACACUCCCUGGGCUCUGCCUCUGGGUAAGCAAGUCUCAGGCUUCCUUUGGUUUUUUUUAAUGUUAAAGUUUAUUUCCCUCUUUCCUAGGUAAAUACUGUUGCUAGUAAUGUUUAUUUUUUCCAAAUUGAUAAUGUUCCAUGCAACUGUAACAGGGAGAUUGGAAGGUUGGUGACUGCUGGCUUUCUGUAAAAUGGAUUCCCAGAGUAUUGGCACUUAGUUCACUACUUAACUUUACUCCUGGCUGGAAAUUACAGGAGAUUCCCAGUGUCAGGAAGUUUGGAGAAUGUAGCUGUUUUAAAGGAACUCUACUUAAAGGUAGCUUUUUAUUCAUCAAAGGUAGCUGGUAGGUAGCCCAAUAAAAGACUCUUUACCAAACACACACAUAUACACACACACAAAACCAUAAAAAGUUAGCAUAUGAUAUUCUUAACAUUGUUUUUCUCAAUUUCCUACCAGGCUCAGUCCAGUUCAAGACGCUGGCAAACAGGGCUGCUGCUUGAAAGCUUUUCGAGGAGACGAGGUGUAUUUGAACAUGUGACGAUUGAUAUAUACAGAGUAGAGGUUUUCGCUUACUGUCCCUUUCAUGGUGGUAGCAGGGGAGGACUUUUGAAAAGGUGCCAAAUAUCUGCAAGAACAUAUAUCUGCCCCAUAGAGAAUCUCUGUAGAAUUCAACUCCACUUAAACUAUUUAAAAUCAUUCUUCUGCCAGCCAGCCCCAGCCUGCAGCUCAACCUAGUAACUAGACUAGCUAUUCUAUCAAUACAGCUAUCUUAAGAAAACUGUCAGCUGCUUGAAUUUACAAAGGUUAGUUCUAAAUCCCACACUUUUGACUAUUCAAAACAUUGUAUGUUUCAAAGUAUCCUUUUAAAAACUUGUUUUUUUGUGCUUACAGUUUUUCCUAUAAUAGAUUAUUUUGAUGAUUAAGUUUGACCCCUUUGACAGAUCAGUGGAUUCCUAAGGAUCAGGGAGGAGUUUGUUGCAUAGGGUUUGGUCGGGGGUGGGUGUUGAAGAACUGCUCUGCGCUUUGAUUAUGGUGCUGUUGGCCUUUGUCAAAUUUUGGAGUGAGUUUUACUGAAUGUAAAUUCAACUUCAAUAAACAUGGCUUUAAAAACUUA
Delphinapterus leucas (beluga whale) is the source of this 1777-nucleotide long non-coding RNA. RefSeq lists it as uncharacterized. Lineage: Eukaryota; Metazoa; Chordata; Mammalia; Artiodactyla; Monodontidae. The record is from RefSeq and is a predicted model, not a curated record.